CGCAGCCGCGGUAAUACGAAGGGUGCAAGCGUUACUCGGAAUUACUGGGCGUAAAGCGUGCGUAGGUGGUCGUUUAAGUCCGUUGUGAAAGCCCUGGGCUCAACCUGGGAACUGCAGUGGAUACUGGGCGACUAGAGUGUGGUAGAGGGUAGCGGAAUUCCUGGUGUAGCAGUGAAAUGCGUAGAGAUCAGGAGGAACAUCCAUGGCGAAGGCAGCUACCUGGACCAACACUGACACUGAGGCACGAAAGCGUGGGGAGCAAACAGGAUUAGAUACCCUGGUAGUCCACGCCCUAAACGAUGCGAACUGGAUGUUGGGUGCAAUUUGGCACGCAGUAUCGAAGCUAACGCGUUAAGUUCGCCGCCUGGGGAGUACGGCCGCAAGGUUGAAACUUAAAGGAAUUGGCGGG
Molecule: ribosomal RNA, 409 nt
Filed under: uncultured microorganism
Description: bacterial SSU rRNA
Rfam family: Bacterial small subunit ribosomal RNA
Source: RNAcentral